This 253-nucleotide ribosomal RNA is filed under the name uncultured bacterium. RNAcentral's name for it is "partial 16S ribosomal RNA". It matches the Rfam family "Bacterial small subunit ribosomal RNA", at positions 524 to 776 of the family's 1533-position model. The record is from RNAcentral.
GACGAACCGUGCAAACGUUACUCGGAAUCACUGGGCUUAAAGGGCGCGUAGGCGGUACGCCAAGUCUGGGGUGAAAUCUUUCGGCUCAACCGGAAAAUUGCCUGGGAUACUGGCGUGCUUGAGGGAGGUAGGGGCAGCGGGAACUACCAGUGGAGCGGUGAAAUGCGUUGAUAUUGGUAGGAACGCCGGUGGCGAAAGCGCGUUGCUGGACCUCUUCUGACGCUGAGGCGCGAAAGCUAGGGGAGCAAACGGG